CAGAGCAGGACCUGUCGCUCCACAGAGUCACCAGUGCUGGGAAAUUCCCACUGAGACCUGGCUGGGGCAGCUUUGUCACCUGCACGUGCUCUGAACCUCCCUGGUGGUUUGAGGAGCAGCAGGAGACACCUGGCUCCAGAGGAGACGACUCUGACUGGAACCAAGAGGGAAACAACAAAUUUCAAAAGGGAAAAAAACACAACAGAGUUGUUUGAAUUUGCAAAUACAUCUGUGCUGUCAAAAAUCUUUGCUCCCUGGUUUGGUCCCAUGCCCCAGUCCCCACACUUCUCUGAUAAUAUUUG
This 302-nucleotide long non-coding RNA is filed under the name Cyanistes caeruleus (blue tit). RNAcentral describes it as "lncRNA (ENSCCEG00000002232.1)". Lineage: Eukaryota; Metazoa; Chordata; Aves; Passeriformes; Paridae. The record is from RNAcentral.